Molecule: small RNA, 1807 nt
Filed under: Pongo abelii (Sumatran orangutan)
Lineage: Eukaryota; Metazoa; Chordata; Mammalia; Primates; Hominidae
Description: retained intron
Source: RNAcentral
CAAGCUGACAGCUUGAUAUGCCUUCUUCUGCUGCCUGGUUUUGGGGGCUGUAUGACGUACUGGUCGGUAGUAAAGAUUAAUAUGUAAGAAAUGUGGAGCUAGGAUCAAGUCAUACUCCACAGCCUGCCUGGCAAACUAUGUUUUACUUCUGACUUUGCUCUCUCGCUGAGAACAUUAAUCUGUCAAGCUGGCGGGCUCCUUUGAUAGCAACUUUCCCAGGGGCAUGAUGUGGCAAUGCCACCUCUCAGCCCAGGACUACCGCUAUUACCCCGUGGACGGCUACUCCCUGCUUAAACGCUUCCCUCUUCAUCCUCUUACAGGACCCAGAUGCCCUGUCCAAACAGUGGGACAAUGGUUGGAAAGCAUUGGGCUACCUCAGUACGAGAACCACCUGAUGGCUAAUGGAUUUGACAAUGUGCAGUUUAUGGGAAGCAAUGUUAUGGAAGAUCAGGAUUUGUUGGAAAUUGGAAUCCUUAAUUCCGGGCACCGACAAAGAAUUCUACAGGCAAUCCAGCUCCUUCCAAAGAUGAGACCCAUUGGGCAUGAUGGCUACCAUCCCACCUCUGUAGCUGAGUGGCUGGAUUCCAUUGAACUGGGCGACUACACCAAAGCCUUUCUAAUUAAUGGCUACACUUCGAUGGACCUGUUGAAAAAAAUCUGGGAGGUUGAACUUAUUAAUGUUUUAAAAAUCAAUUUGAUUGGCCACAGGAAACGUAUUUUGGCAUCUCUGGGAGACAGGCUGCACGACGAUCCCCCACAGAAGCCCCCUCGGUCCAUCACCCUCAGGGUAAGUGCCAAGCACAUUCAUUUGGUUCUCCGCCCUUAUCUUAAGAACUAUUUGUUUGAGACCAGCCUGGCCAACAUGGUGAGACCCUGCCGCUACUAAAAACAGAAAAAAUUUAGCCAGGUGUGGUUGUGCCCGUCUGUAGUCCCGGCUACUCUGGAGGCUGAGACAUGAAAAUCGUUUGAACCCAGAAGGCGGAGCAUUGCAGUGAGCAGAGAUCGCACCACUGCACUCCAGCCUGGGCAACAGAGUAAGAAAAUAAAAAAAUUAUUUUGUGUAGUUUUAUAGGUUUUAUAAACAUGCGCUUUAUACAACUGAAGCAAUAGAUCAGGAAGUGCUGGCUCUUUUCUGUGUAGUUUACCAUAUCUGUGUAAAAAACAAUCUCUCUUUUGAUUGUUUGACACAAUCAAAACAACAAGAUUUGUUUUUCUAGAUUGGUUAAAUAUAUAUUUUUGAGAUUUAGAUAUCCAUCUGUAAUGGAAUUCAGCCUGACAAACCACCACCUUUAAAGAACCACUCUCUCACCUCCCAUCCCACACCCUAUCUACGCCAAGAGAGCGGAAAUGAGUUUUCUGUCAGACUCCUCAAACCCACAGAAAGAAAAUCGAUCAAGGACCACAGUUAAGUAAAGAUCAAUUUAAAAUUAACCUUAGGGUCUUCUGUUUUUCAAGAAGUAAAAUUUGUCCAGCUUUACUCACUUCAAAAAUUCAGAAUAGAGAAUCUAAAACCUUACUUAAUAAAUUGUAUUUCUUUUAUUCAACUACACUUUAGAAUUAUGAGGCAGGGGCCGGGCACAGUGGCUCAUGCCUGUAAUCCCAGCACUUUGGAAGGCAGAGGUGGGUGGAUCACGAGGUCAGGAGACCUAGACCAUCCUGGCUAACACAGUGAAACCCAGACUCUACUAAAAAUACAAAAAAUUAGCCGGGCAUGGUGGUGGGCGCCUAUAAUCCCAGCUACUCAGGAGGCUGAGGCAGGAGCUUGAACCCGGGAGGCAGAGGUUGCAGUGGGCCGAGAUUGCACCAC